CCUACGGGGGGCAGCAGUGGGGGAUAUUGCACAAUGGGGGAAACCCUGAUGCAGCGACGCCGCGUGAGGGAAGAAGUAGUUCGGUAUGUAAAGCUCUAUCAGCAGGGAAGAAAAUGACAGUACCGGACCAAGAAUCCCCGGCUAACUACGGGCCAGCAGCCGCGGUAAUACGUAGGGGGCAAGCGUUAUCCGGAUGUACUGGGUGUAAAGGGAGCGUAGACGGUUCUGUAAGUCUGGAGUGAAACCCCGGGGCCCCACCCCGGGACGGCUUUGGAAACUGUGUAACUGGAGUACAGGAGGGGCAUGCGGAAUGCCUGGUGUAGCGGUGAAAUGCGUAGAUAUCAGGCGGAACACCGGCGGCGAAGGCGGCCUGCUGGACUGAAACUGACGUUGAGGCUCGAAAGCGUGGGGAGCAAACAGGAUUAGAUACCCCUGUAGUC
This 440-nucleotide ribosomal RNA is filed under the name uncultured bacterium. RNAcentral describes it as "partial 16S ribosomal RNA". It matches the Rfam family "Bacterial small subunit ribosomal RNA", at positions 338 to 795 of the family's 1533-position model. The record is from RNAcentral.